Molecule: transfer RNA, 82 nt
Filed under: Colletotrichum graminicola M1.001
Lineage: Eukaryota; Fungi; Ascomycota; Sordariomycetes; Glomerellales; Glomerellaceae
Also listed under: 1 other name
Description: tRNA-Thr for anticodon AGU
Rfam family: tRNA
About the family: Transfer RNA (tRNA) molecules are approximately 80 nucleotides in length. Their secondary structure includes four short double-helical elements and three loops (D, anti-codon, and T loops). Further hydrogen bonds mediate the characteristic L-shaped molecular structure. tRNAs have two regions of fundamental functional importance: the anti-codon, which is responsible for specific mRNA codon recognition, and the 3' end, to which the tRNAs corresponding amino acid is attached (by aminoacyl-tRNA synthetases). tRNAs cope with the degeneracy of the genetic code in two manners: having more than one tRNA (with a specific anti-codon) for a particular amino acid; and 'wobble' base-pairing, i.e. permitting non-standard base-pairing at the 3rd anti-codon position.
Source: Rfam by way of RNAcentral
GCCUUGUUGGCUAAGUGGUAUAGCGUCUCACUAGUAUGCUAGUGUCAUGAGAAGAUCGGCGGUUCGAUUCCGCCACGAGGCA